CGUCAGCUCGUGUCGUGAGAUGUUGGGUUAAGUCCCGCAACGAGCGCAACCCCUAUCCUCAGUUGCCAUCAUUAAGUUGGGCACUCUGUGGAGACUGCCGGUGUCAAACCGGAGGAAGUGGGGAUGACGUCAAGUCCUCAUGGCCCUUAUGACCAGGGCUACACACGUGCUACAAUGGCCGGUACAAAGAGUUGCGAUACCGCGAGGUGGAGCUAAUCUCAUAAAGCCGGUCUCAGUUCGGAUUGGAGUCUGCAACUCGACUCCAUGAAGUUGGAAUCGCUAGUAAUCGCGGAUCAGCACGCCCGCGGUCCGAAUACGUUCCGGCCUU
This 328-nucleotide ribosomal RNA is filed under the name uncultured Geobacter sp. RNAcentral describes it as "bacterial SSU rRNA". It matches the Rfam family "Bacterial small subunit ribosomal RNA", at positions 1053 to 1374 of the family's 1533-position model. The record is from RNAcentral. Lineage: Bacteria; Pseudomonadati; Thermodesulfobacteriota; Desulfuromonadia; Geobacterales; Geobacteraceae.